AUGUAUCUUUUCCCCACCCAGACUGAAAGAAGCUGAAGAGGUGUGCAGACAGAAGAAGGGAAAAUCACUUUAUAAAAUAAAACCAAGACAUGACUCUGGAAUUAAAGCAAAGAUAAGCAUGAAAACCUGAACAAUGCAAAGCAGAAUGGAGAUAAGUCACGGCCACCACUUCCACAAAUUCAGCUGACCUGAGGGCAGGAAGGAAACUAUAUCAUUUCGUUCAUUUUUCUUCUUGACCUCUUGCAUAAUCUUUGUGUUUUCUAGACAGUUCACUGAUUAUUGAAUUUUACUGUACAUUCAUAUAAAAAUGCAAAAGUGGUAGUAGCCCAGUGGAGAAUUUGACACCUUUUCUUUUUGUAAAAGUUUAUGGUAUUAUACCGAUUGACCGCAACAGCAUGUGUAGGAGGCAGUAUCUGCAUUAAUGCUAACAUGCUAAACAUUAACCUAAAACUUACUUUUGUGAGAGUAUUCCUUAUCACAGAAACACUUUCCUUUCUACUGACAGCCAGUACUCCACAUCAGUGCAUUGAGAUUUAUGGUUAAAAUGUUAUUUCUAGUGAAUUGUUUGUAUCAGUUUCACAUCUAUGUAGAAAAUUUUCUAUUUUAAAAUUUAAGUACCAUUUAUAUGUUGUGAUCAAGGCUUUCCCACCUCUUGGGUUGCUCUCCAUAAUAAUUUUUUUUUGAAAGAAGAUGAUCAAUUUUUUUACUCAAGUCAGAUAAAGAAUAGAAAAAAAAUAGCAAAAGAAAAACCCUCUCCUAUCCAUCACUUCCUGUAAAACGUGACUAAUUGUUGGCAAAAAAAAAAAAAAAGUUAAGUUUUCGGAUGGAUUGGUUUCUGC
Manis javanica (Malayan pangolin) is the source of this 839-nucleotide non-coding RNA. The record is from RefSeq and is a predicted model, not a curated record. NCBI's taxonomy places the organism in Eukaryota, Metazoa, Chordata, Mammalia, Pholidota, Manidae.